Molecule: ribosomal RNA, 1575 nt
Filed under: metagenome
Description: bacterial LSU rRNA
Rfam family: Bacterial large subunit ribosomal RNA
Source: RNAcentral
GCAGUCAGGCGUAGGGUGAUAAAAUCCUAUGUCGAGAGGGGAACAACCCAGACUACCAGCUAAGGUCCCAAAGUCAAAUUUAAGUGGAAAACGAUGUGAAAUUACUGUGACAACCAGGAGGUUGGCUUAGAAGCAGCCACCCUUUAAAGAAAGCGUAACAGCUCACUGGUCUAGUGAUUUUGCGCGGAAAAUAUAACGGGGCUAAAAUUUGCACCGAAGCUGUAGAUUCAGUAUUUAUACUGUCUGGUAGGAGAGCGUUCUAUUUAGCAUUGAAGCCAUACCGGUGAGGAGUGGUGGAGCAAAUAGAAGUGAGCAUGCAGGCAUGAGUAGCGAUAAAAAAAGUGAGAAUCUUUUUCGCCGAAAACCCAAGGUUUCCUACGCGAUGCUCGUCAUCGUAGGGUUAGUCGGGUCCUAAGACAAGUCCGAAAGGGGUAGUCGAUGGCAAAUUGGUUAAUAUUCCAAUACCAACAUUGUAUUGUUUGAGUGAUGGGGGGACGCAUAGAGUUAAUUGAGGUCACUGAUGGAAUAGUGGCUCGAAGGAUGUAGGUUGAUAAGUAGGAAAAUCCGCUUGUCGUGUAACCGAGAUCUUACAGGCUGAACAAUAUCUUCGGAUAGCGUUUAGAAUCAAUGAUACUGUCGUGCCGAGAAAAGCCUCUAAACGAGAUAUAAUGUUGCCCGUACCGUAAACCGACACAGGUGGGUGAGAUGAGUAUUCUAAGGCGCGUGGAAGAACCCUGGUUAAGGAACUCUGCAAACUAGCACCGUAACUUCGGAAUAAGGUGUGCCUACUUUUGUAUAUGGAUUUACUCCAGAAAGCGAAAGAGGUUGCAACAAAGAGUCCCUCCCGACUGUUUAUCAAAAACACAGCACUUUGCUAACUCGUAAGAGGAUGUAUAAGGUGUGACGCCUGCCCGGUGCUUGAAGGUUAAUUGAUGGGGUUAGCGAUUCGUCGCGAAGCUCUUGAUCGAAGCCCAAGUAAACGGCGGCCGUAACUAUAACGGUCCUAAGGUAGCGAAAUUCCUUGUCGGUUAAAUACCGACCUGCAUGAAUGGCGUAACGAGAUGGGAGCUGUCUCAACCAGGGAUCCAGUGAAAUUGUAGUGGAGGUGAAAAUUCCUCCUACCCGCGGCAAGACGGAAAGACCCCGUGCACCUUUACUAUAGCUUGACACUGCAAUUGGGAUAUAUUUGUGCAGGAUAGGUGGGAGGCUUUGAUGCUGUGGCGCUAGCUGCAGCGGAGCCAUCCUUGAGAUACCACCCUUAUAUAUUCUGAUUGCUAACUUGCGCCAGUUAUCCUGGCGGAGGACAAUGUCUGGUGGGUAGUUUGACUGGGGCGGUCGCCUCCUAAAAAGUAACGGAGGCUUACAAAGGUUGGCUCAUGUCGGUUGGAAAUCGACAGCAGAGUAUAAUGGUACAAGCCAGCUUAACUGCGAGACGUACAUGUCGAGCAGAGACGAAAGUCGGUCAUAGUGAUCCGGUGGUUCUGUGUGGAAGGGCCAUCGCUCAAAGGAUAAAAGGUACGCCGGGGAUAACAGGCUGAUCUCCCCCAAGAGCUCACAUCGACGGGGAGGUUUGGC